GAUGAAGAACGCAGCGAAAUGCGAUAAGUAAUGUGAAUUGGAGAAUUCAGUGAAUCAUCGAAUCUUUGAACGCACAUUGCGCCCCUUGGUAUUCCGAGGGGCAUGCCUGUUCGAGCGUCAUUAUAACCCCUCAAGCUCAGCUUGGUGUUGGGGCCUGCUGCACUGGCAGCCCUUAAAAUCAGUGGCGGCGCCAUCUGGCUCUAAGCGUAGUAAUUCUUCUCGCUAUGGAGUCCUGGUGGAUGCUUGCCAUCAACCCCCAAUUUUUCUAUGGUUGACCUCGGAUCAGGUAGGGAUACCCGCUGAACUUAAGCAUAUCAAUAAGCGGAGGA
This 329-nucleotide unclassified non-coding RNA is filed under the name soil metagenome. Its description in RNAcentral is "partial contains 5.8S ribosomal RNA, internal transcribed spacer 2, and large subunit ribosomal RNA". The stretch from base 1 to 120 matches the Rfam family "5.8S ribosomal RNA", at positions 35 to 154 of the family's 154-position model. The record is from RNAcentral.